Molecule: ribosomal RNA, 7230 nt
Filed under: Triticum aestivum (bread wheat)
Lineage: Eukaryota; Viridiplantae; Streptophyta; Magnoliopsida; Poales; Poaceae
Description: partial small subunit ribosomal RNA
Source: RNAcentral
AUGGACCCAAAGAAAUCAAUAGAUGAUAAAUUCUCUAAGUUGCAUCCAAGUUUGCCAAUAGACACUAGAAUUGGCAUAGUGGGAGCAGGGCCAAGUGGCUUAUCAGCAGCCUACGCACUAGCUAAACUCGGGUACUGCAAUGUAACCGUGUUUGAGAAAUGCAAGACUGUUUCAGGGAUGUGUGAGUCCAUUGACAUAGAAGGAAGAACAUAUGACUUGGGAGGACAAGUUAUAGCAGCAAACAGUGCGCCUGCUAUAACUCACCUGGCAAAAGAGGUAGGAGCUGAAUUCGAGGAGAUGGAUUCACACAGGCUUGCUCUGAUCGACAGCCAAACUGGAAAUAUUCGAGAUCUUGAAGUAGCUGAGGACUAUGUAUCCAUGGUAUCUCUGACGCUAAAACUACAGGAUGAAGCAAAUAAGUCAGGCCGAGUGGGCAUCCAUGCUCUCAGUGGAUUGGCUUCUGACCCAACUCCUCAGUUUUUGAGGCAGCAUGGGAUAAAUUCAGUUCCGAAAUCUGUAGCAUAUGGAUACACAGCUUCUGGCUAUGGUUUUGUUCAAGACAUGCCCUAUGCUUUCAUUCAAGAAUUCACUAGAACCUCUAUGGCUGGCAAAAUCCGACGUUUCAAGCAUGGCUACAUGAGCAUGUGGGAGAAACUUAGUCAGUCAUUACCAUUUGAAGUUCUUUGUGGCACGGAGGUUUUGAGAGUCAGGCGCAGCAGCAAUGGUGCAAGUGUAACCAUUAAGAAGGACAAUGGUGACAAACAAGUAAUGGAGUUUGACAAAAUUAUAUUCUCAGGUGCUCUUGCUUUUAAAAAUGGCAAUACAUAUCGAUCUUCUAGUCUCACUGAUGGAGAAAGUGAAGUGGUGGAACUGAAUGAUCUCGAAAGAGAACUAUUCAGUAAGGUACAGACAGUGGACUACUAUACUACUGUUGUUAAGAUCAAUGGAUUUGAGCACAUGCCAAAGGGAUUUUACUACUUUGGAGAAUUCAUGGAGGAUCCAGCAACAAUAGGGCAUCCAGUGGCAAUGCAAAAAUUCUUUGAUGGCACGGACAUUUUCUUGUUCUGGUCUUAUGGGAAUUCAGCAGACAUCAACGGUUCAUAUGUGGCUAAAUGUGUGACGGACAUUGUGAGUUCUAUGGGAGGCACUGCUCAGAAUGUGCUUUUGCAGCGUCGAUUCAAGUAUUUCCCUCAUGUUAACAGUGAAGACAUGAAAGAUGGAUUCUAUGAGAGGCUUGAAUCUGAGUUGCAAGGCUUUCAGAACACUUACUAUGUUGGAGGUCUGCUAGCAUUUGAGCUUACCGAAAGAAAUGCUUCAUACUCCAUUGCGGCUGUUUGUAAACACUUUGCCAUCGAUGUUGAGCAAACUGUAACUCCUUAUGUCAAGAGACUAUUUUCUCUGUCCCACAACAGCAACCCUUCACCUCCUAGAGAUCUUGGUGAGCUUGAAGGUGUUGAAUUUCCCGACCUUCCAUCCCUGGAUGGAUACUUGCAAUAUUGGGGAACUCACAGGGUCACCAAGGAAAAUGUCAUCUAUACUUGGAUCAAUGAAGAAGGAAAAAUCAUGAACCGAAGAACCUACCAGGAACUUCAUGAGAAUGCAUCUCACAUUGCACACAAACUAUUGACAAGCACGAAGCCUAUUAUCAAGCCUGGUGACAGAGUUAUCCUUAUUCACCUCCCAGGUCUGGAGUUUAUUGAUGCAUUCUUUGGGUGCAUUAGAGCAGGAGUCAUACCAGUCCCAGUUAUUCCCCCUGAUCCAAUGCAAAUGGGUGGGCAAGCACUUCUCAAAGUCGAGAACGUCUCUAAAGUGUGCAGUGCUGUGGCAAUUCUGUCAACUUCUUCGUACCAUGCUGCCGUACGUGCAGGUUAUGUCAAGAACAUUGUCACUCUAGCAAAGAAUCAGAAAUGCUCUGCGCAGUGGCCUGACCUCCCGUGGAUUCACACCGAGUCAUGGAUCAAGAACUACCGGCGAAGUCCAGACACCUUCAACUCAGACAAUGUUUUAUCUAUGAUGACCAAGCCCCAGCCAAGUGACUUGUGCUUUCUGCAGUUCACUUCGGGUUCCACUGGUGAUGCCAAGGGGGUGAUGAUAACACAUGGAGGACUAAUCCACAAUGUGAAGAUGAUGAAGAAGCGGUAUCAAAGUACCUCAAAAACUGUCCUUAUCAGCUGGCUUCCACAGUACCAUGACAUGGGACUAAUAGGGGGUAUUUUUACUGCUCUUGUAAGUGGAGGAACUUCCAUUCUAUUCUCGCCGAUGACAUUCAUCAGGAACCCCCUCCUGUGGCUGCAAACAAUCAGUGACUACCAUGGAACCCAUAGUGCAGGUCCAAACUUUGCAUUUGAACUUGUGAUAAGAAGGCUUGAAGCCGAGAAGAGCAAAGUAUAUGACCUCUCUUCAAUGAUCUUCCUCAUGAUUGCAGCAGAACCAGUAAGGCAAAAAACUGUCAGAAGGUUCAUAGAGUUGACUCAACCUUUGGGCCUUUCUGAAGGUGUUCUUGCACCUGGAUAUGGGCUGGCUGAGAACUGUGUCUAUGUUUGUUGUGCCUUUGGUGAAUGCAAGCCGGUCUUCAUAGAUUUGCAAGGAAGAGUUUGUUGUGGGUAUAUUGAGCAAGAUGAUACAGAUAUUGACAUCAGAAUUGUUGAUGCAGACUCUUUGAUUGAGCAUCAAGAUGGUACUGAGGGUGAGAUAUGGAUCAGCAGUCCUAGUUCUGGAGUUGGUUAUUGGGGCAACCAGGAAAUGAGCCAGAAAACUUUCUGCAAUCAGCUCAAGAACCACCCCAACAAGAAGUUCACAAGAACCGGUGAUUUAGGGCGGAUCAUUGACAGCAAACUUUUUAUUACUGGAAGGAUCAAAGAUCUAAUCAUUGUUGCUGGCAGAAAUAUUUAUUCUGCAGAUGUAGAGAAGACGGUGGAAAAUUCUUCCGAUGUCCUCCGGCCAGGAUGUUGUGCUGUUGUUGGUGUCCCAGAGGAAGUUCUGACUCAGAAAGGCAUCUCAAUUCCUGAUUCUUCUGAUCAGGUUGGACUUGUCGUGAUUGCAGAGGUUAGGGAGGGUAAGACAGUCUCUGAAGAAAUCAUUGACAACAUCAAAACACGUGUGGCGGAGGAGCAUGGUGUAACUGUUGCAUCGGUCAAGCUUAUCAAGCCUAGAACCAUAUCCAAGACAACAUCCGGGAAGAUACGGAGAUUUGAAUGCAUGAAGCAGUUUGUUGACAACAGUCUUAGUUUGGCCAAUGGUAAUCGUCCAUCUAAAAGGAGUCUAUUCCGGUCUCUAACAACAGGAACCGGCAUGGAGAGAAGGAGGUCAUUCUUGAAGCAGACUGUUGAUCCCACCAUUCAUCCUCAGUCAGAAAGCAAAGUGAAGAACUCCAAGCAGAUAACUGAGUUUCUGACACAGUUAGUAUCAGAUCAAUCAGGUAUUCCAAAGGACAAAAUUUCUCCAACAGGCAGCCUACCUUCUUAUGGCUUUGAUUCGAUUGCAGUGGUUCGAGCAGCUCAGAAGCUCUCAGAUUUUCUCGGUAUUCCUGUUGGAGCCAUUGAUAUCUUUGCUGCAAGCUGCAUUUCUGAGCUUGCUAGCUUCUUGGAGAAUUUGUUGAGUAAGUCACAACCAAAGUUGACACCUCAUCCCAACAGCCAGGGGAAAAGCUCGAGGGAGAUCAUUGAGUUUCUGACACAGAUAGUAUCAGAUCAAUCAGGUAUUCCAAAGGAUAAAAUUUCUCCAACAGGCAGCCUACCUUCAUAUGGUUUCGAUUCAAUUGCUGUGGUCCGAGCAGCACAGAAGCUCUCAGAUUUUCUUGGUACUCCUGUUGGAGCGAUUGACAUCUUUGCAGCAAGCUGUAUUUCUGAGCUUGCUAGCUUUUUGGAGAAGUUGUUGCCCAAGUCACAACCACUUUUGGCAUCUGAUGUAUCUUGCUCUACUGAGGAUGAGAGUUUAGUAGAUGUCAGUGCAGAUUUCAGUGUGCUUGCUACAGGGAUUCUCCAACUCCUGGCCCUUACCUAUGUGUGUUUCAUGUUGCUACUUCCAGCAUACCUUGCAAGUUUGGCAUACAUGAGCGUGUUCUACCCGGUCAGUCUGGUUGAAGCAUCAGUGAUGACUUAUCUUGGUUCGUUGGUCAUGGCACCUAUUGCUUGGAUUUGUUAUGUCUUGCUCACCUCCUUAUCAUUGUCUAUCUUGGGGAAGUCACUCCUUCAGCCAAAUUAUGGUCUGACCCCUGAUGUUUCGAUAUGGUCAGUUGACUUUGUUAAAUGGUGGGCACUGAACAAGGCUCAAGGGUUUGCUGCAAAGAUGCUAGCUGUGCAUCUAAAGGGAACAAUCUUCUUGAAUUAUUGGUUCAAGAUGCAAGGGGCUCGAAUUGGGUCAUCUGUUGUUAUUGACACAGUAGACAUCACUGACCCAUCCUUGUUAGUGGUUGCAAAUGGUGCAAUGAUUGCAGAAGGUGUUCUCAUCCAGGGGCAUGAAGUCCGUAAUGAAGUGCUGAGUUUUAGGCGUGUCAGAAUCGGUCGUGAGGCCUCCAUUGGUCCUUAUGCGGUGCUUCAAAAGGGCACCGUUGUGGAUGAUGGUGCUAUGGUCCCACCACUGCAAAAAACUGAGCCAGGGAAAUCAGUGUAUCAGAAUAAGAGAACUUCUGCAGACAUGAAGGAAGAAACAGGGAAAGCAAACAUGCUUCUUGAACACCUGGUUUGCAUCUAUGCGGUUGCGUUGCUAGGUGCUCUAUCAAGUGCAACCGUCUACACGUUUUACAUUCACUUCUCUGGCACUGAGGCUUCACCUCAGCACUUCUCUUUUGCAUGCAUUGCGGGCGCAUUCCACUGGUUACCAGCUGCCCUCGCCGCUUACCCUGUGAUUGUGCGGGAGGCGCCCACAAGCGCAUUGACAUUUGCUCUCUCCAUCGCCUUCGCCUACUUGAGCUACGGUGUCAUCCUCAGUCUUCUUACAAGUAUGGUCAACACAGCCCUCGCCACAAGGCCGGGAACCAAGCAAAACCAUAUGACAAGCUUGAUCCAGCGACGUAUAAACGUCGCUGUGCACCUCAGAUUUGCAAAGAUGUUAUCUGGAACUGAAGCAUUCUGCAUGUACUUAAGGCUUCUUGGUGCAAAGAUUGGCAGGCAUUGCUCUAUCCGGUCCAUUGAUCCAGUGGCGAAUCCUGAACUGAUCAAUAUUGGUGAUGGGGUCCAUCUAGGUGAUUUCUGCCACAUUGUUCCAGGGUUCUACUCCAGUAAGGGGUUUACUGGUGCGGAGAUAAAGGUCCAGGAGAACACCAUCAUUGGUAGUGGCAGCUUGCUCCUUCCUGGCUCAGUCCUCCAAGGGAAUGUCAUCCUUGGAGCACUUUCUGUGGCACCAGAACAUUCUCUUCUCCAGAGAGGCGGAAUCUAUGUUGGGGCACAAUCUCUGACCAUGGUGAAGAACACCUUGCUUGCAGAAGAUGAGAGGAUUGAAAUGAUGGACCCGAUGUACAAGAAGAUUGUUGGGAACCUCUCGGCGAACUUGGCAAUCACCACCAUGAACGUCAAGUCAAGGUACUUCCACCGCAUUGGCGUAAGCGGGCGGGGGGUCCUGAAAAUGUACGAGGACAUUCCAUCUCUGCCCAAGCACAAGAUAUUUGGCGCCGGCAAGUCUUUCCCAGUAAUCGUCCGGCACAGUAAUAGCCUCAGUGCAGAUGAUGAUGCCAGGCUCGAUGCGCGUGGUGCAGCAGUGCGCAUUCUCUCAGACGAUGGCGAGGUGCCUCUUCUGGACCUUACUUUGAAGAGUGGCAAAGCAUUUUAUGCACGCACAAUCGCCGACUUCGCCACUUGGCUGGUUUGUGGCCUGCCAGCGAGGGAAGAGCAUGUCAAGCGUGCUCCACACGUCCGGGAUGCUGUCUGGGGCUCCCUGCGGGACACCAACUCGUACACCGAGCUGCAUUACUACUCCAACAUAUGCCGGCUGCUGCGGUUUGAUGAAGGGAAGGAGAUGUAUGCAAAAUUCAAGCUUCGUCCUGUUGAUCAAGACAUACCGGAGGAGUCCGGUCAGGUGGUGCCAAGGGGUAUCUUGCCGCCGGAAACCGGUGCAAUCCCAAGAGAUGAGGGUGACACACGCCCUUUACUCUUCCUCGCCGACGACUUCCGUCGGAGGGUGGAAGUUCCAGACGGGGUGCGCUACGUCUUCCAACUGCAGCUCAGGGAGGUGCCCUCUGACGACGCCACCUGUGACGUCGCCCUUGACUGCACGCGGCCAUGGGACGAGGAGGAGUUCCCAUACAUCGACAUCGGAGAGAUAAGCAUCGACAACAAUCUCCCAGCAGAGGAGACGGAGAAGCUCGAGUUCAACCCCUUCCUCCGGUGCCAAGAGGUGGACGUCAUCCCGGCGUCGUCCUGCAAGCAGAGCGCGUCCAUCGACCACGGGCGCUCGCUGAUUUACGAGAUAUGCCAACGCCUGCGGAACGGCGAGCCACUGCCUGCGUCAUGGGCGGCUUUCCUGGAGCAGUCCGACACCAAUAUCAACCUGUCGGGGUGCCCAGUGGCCGCCGCCAUGCACACAAGAUCCGACACUGCCAAUGCCAGCGAGACCAAGGUGACCCUGGCCAGGACAUGGUACAAGGCGCUCUGGGCCACGCUGUGCCAGCCGCUGCUGCAAACGCUGGUGCCAUACUUUGUCCUGGGCCUGGUCAUCUUCCUCCCAUUCCGGGGCCUCCUUGCCGUCGCCGGGGCCACUGGCACGCCGCUGUACUGGCUGCUGCCGGUCUUCUGGCCCGUGUCGGGCUUGGCCGCCAUGGCGACAUGCGCCGCGGCAAAGUGGGUCCUGGUCGGUGUCAGGGGCGAGGGCGACGCGGUGCACAUCUGGGCGCCGCAGGUGUUCCUGGACACGGUCUGGCAGGCCAUACGGACGGCGACGGCGGAGUACUUCGCGGAGCUAACGUGCGGGUCGGUGCUGUUCGCGGCGUGGAUGCGGCUGAUGGGGUCGUCGGUGGCCGUGGCCGACGGCGUGUACGUGGACUCGAUGGGGGCGCUGCUGAACCCGGAGAUGGUGCACCUGGAGCGGGGCGCGAGCGUGGGGCACGACGCGCUGCUGUUCGGGCACGUAUACGAGGGCGAGGCCGGGAAGGUGAAGUUCGGCAGGGUCCACGUCGGGGAGGAUGGGUUCGUGGGCAGCCGGGCGGUGGCGAUGCCGGGCGUGAAGGUGGAGGACGGCGGCUACCUGGGCGCCCUGUGCCUGGCCAUGAAGGAGGAGAUCGUCAGGCACAAGCUAUAG